Non-coding RNA from Odocoileus virginianus texanus, 737 nucleotides. The record is from RefSeq and is a predicted model, not a curated record. NCBI's taxonomy places the organism in Eukaryota, Metazoa, Chordata, Mammalia, Artiodactyla, Cervidae.
GACAAGAAUAGGCAUCGUCAGCCAGGCCUGGUGCCCCCGUGGUUCUUCCACACCAACGGGACAUACUGCCCUGUAAAAACACGCAGCCAGGCCCGUGCCCCCGUGGUCCCUCCACACUGAGGGGACAUGCAGCCAGGCCAGGAAGAGGCCUCUUCACACCUGGUAACAGGCCCCACCCAGGCCCAGUAGCCCCAGCUUGGGUCUCUCCCAAGGUUGAGGAAACCAAGGCCCCGAGGGGCUGGGGCUAUGCCCCCAUAGGAACUUGUGAGCAGGUAACGAGACCUCUCCGUGGGCAGGGCCUCCUUGCCUGCAGGACCUGGAGCGGGGUUGCAAAUCCAGCCUGGCUGUGCUCAGAACAGCUGAGGGGCUCCGCCUGAGUGGAGUGACCCAGGACUCUCUGCUCAUAAUAAAGGCUGCGCAGGACUCUCUGCUCAUAAUAAAGGCUGCAGUUCUUGAACCAUCCACCCAGCCAGUCCUGCAGCACAGGAUGGACUCACUGCAGGGACAGCAGGACAGGGUACCUUAGAGCCACCGAGCUUUUCCCCAACUGCUUUCCAGAAAGCAGGGGUCUGGGUCUGCACCCCUGGAAGUACGAGGACUGUCACUGCGUAAACAGCAGCCUGGGGCACUGACAACUCUGAAUGUCCUGCGUUUCUCUGGUCACCAACAAGGUUUUGCUACAAACAUCUUCCCUGCAUGUGUUUCGUGUUCAAUAUUUGGGGGCUGCAGACAGCUGG